RNAcentral lists this ribosomal RNA (492 nucleotides) under uncultured bacterium. RNAcentral's name for it is "partial 16S ribosomal RNA". It matches the Rfam family "Bacterial small subunit ribosomal RNA", at positions 29 to 507 of the family's 1533-position model. The record is from RNAcentral.
AGUGAACGCUGGCGGUAGGCCUAACACAUGCAAGUCGAACGGCAGCACAGUAAGAGCUUGCUCUUACGGGUGGCGAGUGGCGGACGGGUGAGGAAUACAUCGGAAUCUACUUUUUCGUGGGGGAUAACGUAGGGAAACUUACGCUAAUACCGCAUACGACCUACGGGUGAAAGCAGGGGAUCUUCGGACCUUGCGCGAUUGAAUGAGCCAAUGUCGGAUUAGCUAGUUGGCGGGGUAAAGGCCCACCAAGGCGACGAUCCGUAGCUGGCCUGAGAGGAUGAUCAGCCACACUGGAACUGAGACACGGUCCAGACUCCUACGGGAGGCAGCAGUGGGGAAUAUUGGACAAUGGGCGCAAGCCUGAUCCAGCCAUACCGCGUGGGUGAAGAAGGCCUUCGGGUUGUAAAGCCCUUUUGUUGGGAAAGAAAAGCAGCAGGUUAAUACCCCGCUGUUCUGACGGUACCCAAAGAAUAAGCACCGGCUAACUUCGUG